UCAGACGAUGCGUCAUGCAUAUCAAUAAGCGGAGGAAAAGAAACUAACAGGGAUUCCCUUAGUAACGGCGAGUGAAGCGGGAAGAGCUCAAAUUUGAAAUCUUUAAGGUUUUACCUUGACGAAUUGUAGUUUAAAGAAGUGUUUUCUGUUGAAGUUUUGGUAAAAGUUCUUUGGAAUAGGACAUCAUAGAGGGUGAGAAUCCCGUAUUUGACCAUUAUUUUCAGCUGUGUGAUACACUUUCAAAGAGUCGGAUUGUUUGGGAAUGCAGUCCAAAAUGGGUGGUAAAUUUCAUCUAAAGCUAAAUAUUGGCGAGAGACCGAUAGCGAACAAGUACCGUGAGGGAAAGAUGAAAAGAACUUUGAAAAGAGAGUUAAACAGUACGUGAAAUUGUCAAAAGGGAAGCGUUUGACACCAGUGUUGUUUUUCUGAAAAUCAAUUAAAGAACUGUUUAUGCUAAGCUGUUUAGACUUUAUCAGCUAACUGUUUAGUUUUGAGCUUUUCUUUAAUGCACUUUUCAGUUAACAAGUCAACAUCGAUUUCUUUUGCUGUAAAAAAGCUUGAGGAAGGUGGCUUGAGAUUCGUCUUAAGUGUUUGUAGCCUCUUGCCUAUGCAGUCGGAGAGAUUGAGGUCUGCAGCGUAGAUCCUUCGGGGCUAAAUGCAUUUGUGCUAAGUUAUAGCAUUUUAUAGACAACUCGUUGACUAUGAUUUGUCUUGUAGCUUACUCGCUUAUGUUAUUUUACCUACGCUUAGGAUGUUGAGCGCAUGUCUCUCUCU
Molecule: ribosomal RNA, 774 nt
Filed under: uncultured Neocallimastigales
Lineage: Eukaryota; Fungi; Neocallimastigomycota; Neocallimastigomycetes; Neocallimastigales
Description: partial large subunit ribosomal RNA
Rfam family: Eukaryotic large subunit ribosomal RNA
Source: RNAcentral